RNAcentral lists this small RNA (25 nucleotides) under Arabidopsis thaliana (thale cress). Its description in RNAcentral is "ATSL135710". The record is from RNAcentral. Lineage: Eukaryota; Viridiplantae; Streptophyta; Magnoliopsida; Brassicales; Brassicaceae.
GGGGGAGAGAAAGAGACGGUGACGA